UUUAAAUGAAAAGAUUUUAUAAAUUGUCUUGAAAUUGAAUGAUGGCUUUGAAAAUAGAGUAACUGGAGACCACUUGAUGUGUUGUAAUUUAUGAUUCUAAUUGAUGGCUUAUGAUAAUGUGUUGGCAUGACUGGUUGGAAUUGUGGUUUGUGAACUGUAUGAAUUGUUCUGUUUUACAUUUACAGGCUAGGUAGUAUAAUAUUAGUCAUGUUAUGCUAUCAAAAUUUUAUUGUAUGGUGGGUUUAGCUUGCUACAGUGGGCGGGUUCUGUGGACCAGCCUAUUAGAGGGCACGAAAUCUAGUUAUAUAUGUACCUCGGUCGGAGAGGUGCGUAGGGUAUCUCCUAAGGUAUGGUUAGAGUUCACGUCACGCCGAACCACCUCGUGAUGAUGAACUCCGCUAACGUCAAGGAACGGUUGUGUUUUUAAAAUAAAACAUGUUUACGUGUAUACGAACUUUUUAACAGCCUUUGUGGACUCGAUUAAAUGCCUCGGCCAAGGUAUUCUCGAGAAUGAUUUUGGCAGGAGCCAAGCUUUUAAGAUACUCAUAAGCCAUGUUGAUUAUUUAAAUGAAAUGAAUAUUUAUGUUA
RNAcentral lists this long non-coding RNA (588 nucleotides) under Theobroma cacao (cacao). Its description in RNAcentral is "long non-coding RNA (TCAC_LNC000537)". The record is from RNAcentral. Lineage: Eukaryota; Viridiplantae; Streptophyta; Magnoliopsida; Malvales; Malvaceae.